This 274-nucleotide ribosomal RNA is filed under the name uncultured bacterium. RNAcentral describes it as "partial 16S ribosomal RNA". It matches the Rfam family "Bacterial small subunit ribosomal RNA", at positions 523 to 796 of the family's 1533-position model. The record is from RNAcentral.
AUACGUAGGGUGCGAGCGUUAAUCGGAAUUACUGGGCGUAAAGGGUGCGCAGGCGGUUUUAUAAGCCAGAUGUGAAAUCCCCGGGCUCAACCUGGGAACUGCAUUUGGGACUGUAAGACUAGAGUACGGCAGAGGGGGGUAGAAUUCCACGUGUAGCAGUGAAAUGCGUAGAUAUGUGGAGGAAUACCGAUGGCGAAGGCAGCCCCCUGGGUCGAUACUGACGCUCAGGCACGAAAGCGUGGGGAGCAAACAGAAUUAGAUACCCUAGUAGUCC